This 74-nucleotide transfer RNA is filed under the name Pseudomonadota bacterium. RNAcentral's name for it is "tRNA-Arg". It matches the Rfam family "tRNA". Rfam says of the family: Transfer RNA (tRNA) molecules are approximately 80 nucleotides in length. Their secondary structure includes four short double-helical elements and three loops (D, anti-codon, and T loops). RNAcentral also lists the same sequence under 1 other name. Lineage: Bacteria; Pseudomonadati; Pseudomonadota. The record is from RNAcentral.
GUCCCCGUAGCUCAGUAGGAUAGAGCGAGGGAUUCCUAAUCCCUAGGUCGCACGUUCGAUUCGUGUCGGGGACA